RNAcentral lists this long non-coding RNA (805 nucleotides) under Homo sapiens (human). Its description in RNAcentral is "non-protein coding LINC01588:71". The record is from RNAcentral. Lineage: Eukaryota; Metazoa; Chordata; Mammalia; Primates; Hominidae.
UUUUAUGCUGUUCCCGUAACACCCAGCACCAGUCCCCAAGGAUGAGUGCUGAAGAUCCAUAGCCAUGGCAGGGCAGGGCCUAGGUACUGAAGGAAGAUCCCACUCAGAGUUCAGUUCCACCCACUGCAAAACGCCCUCCGAGGACCCUCACUAGACCAGUUCCUCCAAGUGCGGUCCGCAGGCUGCCAUCAGCGGGAUCACGGGCCUUGUAUGACCUCUGAAAAUAUGACCUGAAGCAGAUGGAUGCACUCACAUAAGAAACAUCACCUGUGGCCUUCAUCGAAAAUGGGCCUGCUGCUUGAAGAAGUUGGGCUCUUGGAGUUCUCUAGCACAGGGGCCAUGAAAAUCAAUGACUUCCUUGUUUGCUGACGGAGCAGAGGUAGAAUCUCUUGGUGUUUCCACGGAGAAAACACUGACCAUGAAGAGCCAAGAAAGAUGACAUGAUGAAGCCAUCAGGGGAAGCACCAAACAUCCUCAACUCUGCUCACCCAUGGUUUUCUCCCGCCCUCCCAGAGCUCCUCCUGCUGAUGGGCCCCCGACAUGAAACUGGCACUCAGAAUGAAGAAUGCCUUUUCCAGCCUCCCUCGCUGGUGGAGUCUCCGUGUUCCAGCCAAUGAAGUAGGGCAUGCAGUUGCCUGCCCCACUGAAGUCAACUUCAGCCUGAAGAUUGGGAGACUUCCGAAAGUGGAAAACUUGGAAGGAGGAAGCCUGGACAGCCUGCAGUUGAGGGGACCUGCACAAGCUCACAGGACUCUUCAUCACCAUGACACCACGCUCACCGCAAAAUAAAAAUGAUCAAACCUGU